RNAcentral lists this ribosomal RNA (2334 nucleotides) under Triticum aestivum (bread wheat). Its description in RNAcentral is "partial small subunit ribosomal RNA". Lineage: Eukaryota; Viridiplantae; Streptophyta; Magnoliopsida; Poales; Poaceae. The record is from RNAcentral.
GAGAGGGGUGCUACCUUUCAUAAGGUAGGUAGGUAGAGAAAGGGGGUACCUUUUGGUUUAUAGAACAGGUGCCAGGGAAGGAGAGGUUAGAAAGGGAGAGUUUAGAGAGAUGGGAUCUUUGGUUUGAUUAUGUCUCGUUCGCGCCGCUACCUAGAUUUUUUGUAUGCCCCGGUACCUAGAUCGCAAGGACUAGAUCUAGUCCAACAGGAGCUUAAGUGGGAUUAGUGCUAAACCUAGUUUAGGAGUUAGAAAACUUCAUGUUAAAGACCUAGUCCAAAAGGAGCUUAAGUAGGAUUAGUGCUAAACCUAGUUUGGGAGUUAGAAAACUUCAUGUUAAAGACCUACGGAAUACCUCUAGCCUGGCCUCGUGUUGAUACGGGUAGUCCGUCGGGAACGUGUUCUCUACGGCCUCUUCGCCCUCAUUGGGGUAGCGUACAUCGGGUCAUACACACCGUAGGUUCUUCGACGAAGCUAGCGUCUGAUGUACGAGUCCAGGUACCGUAUCGUAUAUGUAGUACAUGCAGUACCUACGUACGUAUUUUCACUCGAUCCUGCAGUCUGUCCAAUCAUAAGUAACCACAUUAGUAUACGGCACUAUUUGACCAAUUACGUUCAAUCGUUUGGCAGACUCCUUUUUAUCUGUUGACUACCCUAGAGUUUCUAACUUCUAUGACACUAAGUCUAACUCGCUCAUGUAGUUUUCCUUAAUUUACUCAUGUUUAUGGCACUAAGGAUUAUAAAUGUUGAGAACCUUAUAUGUUCUAUCUUUUAAAAUUAAAAUCUGUUGCCCCACUCUUCCAGUUGUUAUAAUUACACCUAAGAAAGACAGCACAACAGUAUCAUUGUAGUUGUUGACAGACUAUAAACUAAAAACACAUAAAGUAUAAUUUUCCUACAUUCAUAACAAUAUACGUAUAUAAAUAAAAUAUCCUUUCAAUUAUAGUCCACGUAUGUCUCAUCAGCUACAAUAGAUAUCCACGUAUGUCUCAUCAGCAACAGUAGACAUCCACGUUUGUCUCAAAUAGACCUAAACUUAUAGUAGUCGAUUAGCACAGGGAAAUGAAGAUGAUACUUCUACCCCACUUUGUAUUUAACUAAACGUUUGUCCCCUUUCUCUCUGGUUUCAUUUCUAAAGUGUCGAGGAUACCUCUACUCCACGGUUAAACGACAUACUUUUUCGUAUUAGACCUCCUUAUGGUUAACAUCGUGAUUUAAUAAUAUACGUGACUUGUGGCUCGUCUUGAGAUAACUUCUUACUUCUACGUACGAGAAUCGAAUAAAGGAACCUUAUUACUACAUGCUACGAAGGUAAACUAAAACUAAACAACAUUUGUAUAUCUAUGUUUAGUUAUGCAAUUAUCGUUUAGGUAUACGGUACCUUAUAUUAAAUACAAACAUCUACGAGAUACAAUCCUCGAGGAAGAUUAAUUUUUCAACAACUCAUUUCGGUUGUCUACUCAUUGAAGAUCUAAUAUUAAAAAAAUAAGGUCCAAUUUAGAUUGUUCUCUGUAGUGGUUGGUUUUUGGAUUGUUGAGUAGUUGAAUCAAUAUUACGAUAGGAUUGACAAUUCUCUGUAUUAUUGAUUUCUUCUAUGUUUAAGAGUAACCCUACUCGAGAUGUUUGUCGACCAUGUACUGUUACAUACACACGACCUUACUCUUUGAGUGUGUGAAGCUUUCUGGAGAGGAAGUUUUGAAAAAAUUAUACCACUACUUUAAGGCUUCUUGUUAAGAAUACGGGUACCCGUGACUCAUUACUCAUUACGUUCGAGCCCAGAACCAUCACCCUAUUUACCUUUUAGUAUAGCUAAUUAUUGAUUUAUGUUUUGAUUUAAACGUCCAACCGGCCACUCGCGACCGUGGUUGGUCUCCUACGUAACCGCGUGUCUCUUCACGAUCAAGUACGGCUACUCGCUACUAACAGUUACCUCUAAUGUACACCGACGCCUUCGUAUUUUUCGUACCACUAUUCUUUCCUAACUAGUCCAAACAUAACAGACUGCGUAAACACGUUCUUGGUUCAUUAACGAUGUCAUGGUCAAUCCAACGAGACCCUCCUGAAGAAAGACGGUAUUCCUAAUUUCGUGGAACUAACUAAGUACCUCCUGCGUGGUUUGUUCCUAAUAAAUGAUAACCUAGAUGGCCGGUCUUUUUGUCUCGUGUGCGGGCACUAACAGGUUCAGGCCUUCCCUGUUCCGGUGAUACAUUAUAUAUAGAGUCAAUCGAGGUUGUGAAUUAAAGGGCACGGAGGACUACAAGAAAUGAUUGAUCUGAAUCCUUACACUCUUUGCAGUAAAACAUCAUACGGAACGACCUCGUUCUAACUUAACGACCU